This 494-nucleotide ribosomal RNA is filed under the name uncultured bacterium. RNAcentral's name for it is "partial 16S ribosomal RNA". It matches the Rfam family "Bacterial small subunit ribosomal RNA", at positions 28 to 507 of the family's 1533-position model. The record is from RNAcentral.
GAUGAACGCUGGCGGCGUGCCUAAUACAUGCAAGUCGAGCGAACGGACGAGAAGCUUGCUUCUCUGAUGUUAGCGGCGGACGGGUGAGUAACACGUGGAUAACCUACCUAUAAGACUGGGAUAACUUCGGGAAACCGGAGCUAAUACCGGAUGAUAUUUUGAACCGCAUGGUUCAAAAGUGAAAGACGGUCUUGCUGUCACUUAUAGAUGGAUCCGCGCUGCAUUAGCUAGUUGGUAAGGUAACGGCUUACCAAGGCAACGAUGCAUAGCCGACCUGAGAGGGUGAUCGGCCACACUGGAACUGAGACACGGUCCAGACUCCUACGGGAGGCAGUAGGGAAUCUUCCGCAAUGGGCGAAAGCCUGACGGAGCAACGCCGCGUGAGUGAUGAAGGUCUUCGGAUCGUAAAACUCUGUUAUUAGGGAAGAACAUAUGUGUAAGUAACUGUGCACAUCUUGACGGUACCUAAUCAGAAAGCCACGGCUAACUACGUG